This is a long non-coding RNA of Biomphalaria glabrata, 1746 nucleotides long. RefSeq lists it as uncharacterized. The transcript has 2 exons. The record is from RefSeq and is a predicted model, not a curated record. Lineage: Eukaryota; Metazoa; Mollusca; Gastropoda; Planorbidae.
UCGGUCUAGACCAUAUCUAGACUUGUUAGCAGUGAAGUUGUGGAAACAGCUACAUCCACUUAAUUUCGUUGAAAACCGUUAAUCGUCUAACGGAACGUCGUCGGAGGUGACCUUGGUUUCACCUAGUCUACAUUGGACAGUUGGUCUAGUGAAGCAGAGUACAACAGCAAACUUCGUCGUACUACCAGAGUAGCAGCAGAAGCAGUGAACUAUUUUAGAAAGCCGUUAUUCGUCAGCCCAGAUCAAGUCAUCGUCAAGAAAGUCGUUAUUCGUCAGCCCAGAUCAAGUCAUCGUCAAGAAAGUCGUUAUUCGUCAGCCCAGAUCAAGUCAUCGUCAAGAAAUUCGUUAUUCGUCAGUCGUCCAGAUCAAGUUGCCGUCAAGAGACUGUUAUUUGUCAGUAGUCGUCUACACAAGUCAAGUCAUCGCCAGAAGAACCGUUAACCUAUUCGUCAGUAACUGUGUACACAAAGUCGUCGGAACUACACAUACGGUCAUCAACAGUCACCGAAGGAACCGAAACAUUUUACUGUGGCAUAUCAGGACAUCUGUGGCAUUACGUGGGAUACUAGUAGCACCGGAGAACAGAGUCAGAACUGGAAGAGAGGCAGUGGAAUUUGUUGUGAUCUAGCAUAUUCGGGAGUCCGAACAAAGGGAUCUUUCUUAUCAAAAGCUAAGUGCCAUUUUUCUUAUUAGUAUAUGUUUAGAUUGCCCUUAGAAAUAGAUUUUGUCUAAAUUUGGUACGUUAGCCUGAGUAAAAUCAGGUGGUGCGCCUUAAAACCCGUCGGGGUAGAAGACGUAAUUUAGAUGAAAAGCUAUAUUAUACGUUUAGGGUUGUAAUUUGUUUUGUUUGUGUAAACGUCAUAUCCGUUGUUGCCUGGUUACUUCGUGACGUUAUCAUUGUGUGCCAUAUUGUCAUAUCCCAACCCAUAGCGAUAGUCUCAUUUUAAUUAUUUCAUUUGUUUAUAUUAUUUUAAAUUAUUUAUUUUUAUUAAUUUAAUUAGAUCUGUAUUUUUUUUUCACUUAAUGAUAGAAAGUGCGGGUAGGAUUCUUUCAUUGUGAAUCAGACUAAAAUAAUUUUAGUUUGAGCGGUUAAAAUCAAAUAUGAUUUUGCCAUGAGAAUAAUGCCGAAACUGGCUAUGUAGUCAAACACUAUCGUCUGGCUAAAUUUAGAUCUGCAAAUUGUUGUACAUCUCUUUGGUACAAUUUAAUUAUCUAGACUCUAAUUUGAAAUAUUAUUAAGUUGAAGAUGAAUGAAGAUUACUGCCAGUGAAGAACAUUUGAGAUGUGUAGGACAUGCCCAUAAGAUGCCACAUUUUCCUCCAUGAUGAACGGUGUACCAAUGAAGAUGAUUUUGGAAUGUUAUGAACUGUUAUGAACAUUGAAUAUGAGGAACUGUCAAGAUGAAGAUGUCAAGAUGAAGAUGUCAAGAUUUUAUGUUUGUGGUCUUCCCCUUAAAUUGAAAAUGUCCUUGUAAGACUUGACAGUAGUGGAAAAAUAUUGACAUAUUUUUUUUUUUCAAGGGGGGGAGGAAUCUGUUAGACACCUUAUUUAUAUAGGUUAGUUAUUUUAGUUAUUUAGCGACGCACCAUAGUAGACGCAUAUUGAACGGGACUAGUGACGUUUGGGAUAUGUUGGGUUAGAGACCGGAAAAUCAGUUAGCGAUAGAACAAUCCAGGGUAACGACGUGUUUAGUGACAGAGACUUCUACUGUGGCCUUUUAUCAUAAUAAAUAUAUAUUAACUUGUU